CUAUCGGGCGGGCUAUCCCGGGGCCCAAAAGCUAGCGGACUAUGGUUUCAGUUCUCAGUAUAGCUUGAACUGUGAUAUAAAACCGACGUAGGCUUUGUGUCGCUGCUGCUUCUGCUGCCGGCAGCAGAAACAACAACAAAACCCAAACAAAAAUAUAUAAACAAACGCAAGGCAGAGUUUUUGCAUUAACCGUGAUACCGAGAUGCCCCCGCCCCAAAUCAGUUGUAGCGGCGGCCCAGGAAUCGUCAGGUCUGUGGCCCCACUCUUACAUUUUUCUGCUGCAGCUCCUGGAUUAACACCUGUAAGGUUGCAAACAAUAGAUGCAAGCAGAAGCCUCAACGCCUUCCGAUCACACCGACCUUUGCCGUCUCAUGCAGGGGCCCCGCUGUCAGGAACUUCGAUAUGAGGAAGUAUAACUCUGCAAGAAGAACAAUUCCACAGAAUAAGUGCAACAGUUGGGUGGCCAAAUAGCAUUAUUAUACGAAAAUUGAAACUUUUCGUAUGGAUGUUCUUGCAAUUCGAUUCGCGGCCAUUCAGCCCAGGCAUCGCGAAUGCACAGCCAUCGAGCCCAUCGCAAAAGCACACACCUCUCCCGGGGCUGCGGGAGGCUCUGGGCAGCCAUAUUUUUGCACACACUUAUUGUAUUCGUAUUAAACGUACCUGGCACUAUCACAUCAUUACAACUGGGCUGGCUAUUUGCCAUUAUUCAUUGCGAACUACAGCUCGGAUUAUUACAAAAUUGUAGUUGCUUUCUUCCAAAAAUUCUUUUUUCAGCUUCUUCUUCACUGUCACAUUAUCGAUGAACCUCAGAAAUAUACCGAAGUAGCCGACUCGCUUUCAAAAUAUACCGAUGACAAAACGAGCUUAGCCCACUUAGGCCCCCCUAUUUAAACAGUUCAACAGUUCAGAUCUAUGCCAUCUUGUUCCAUCUUUCCUCUGAACUAAAAAAAAAACAUGAUAUCUUUCACCUGAACUGCGCUAAAUUGAUUAAAUUUUCAUUAUUUUCGGUGGCAUAUAAAAAUACCCCCUUGGUCUACAUUGGGUUAAUCGUUCUCCGUCAAGGAUUGAAACCAUAUUCCGUGGAAUAUUAAUAGCUAGUUUGAUCCUUCAGACCAGCCCACACAAUUUUCUUCAAUUAAUGAACAUCAUUUCUACUUGACUUG
Long non-coding RNA from Drosophila miranda, 1163 nucleotides. RefSeq lists it as uncharacterized. Lineage: Eukaryota; Metazoa; Arthropoda; Insecta; Diptera; Drosophilidae. The record is from RefSeq and is a predicted model, not a curated record. The transcript has 3 exons.